RNAcentral lists this small RNA (131 nucleotides) under Klebsiella pasteurii. RNAcentral's name for it is "RtT sRNA". It matches the Rfam family "RtT RNA". Rfam says of the family: This family represents a bacterial cis-regulatory element known as RtT RNA. The exact function of RtT is unknown although it is thought that it may be involved in changing the cellular response in relation to amino acid starvation. The record is from RNAcentral. Lineage: Bacteria; Pseudomonadati; Pseudomonadota; Gammaproteobacteria; Enterobacterales; Enterobacteriaceae.
UAUUCAUCCCAUGCGGGAAGGAUGAGAAGCUUCGACUAAGGUUCGAUUCGAGCGAGGCGAGAAAGCGUUGCCGCAGGCAACGACCCGAAGGGCGAGGCGCAACGCGCCGAGUAAUCCUUCCCCCACCACCA